UACGUAGGGCGCAAGCGUUGUCCGGAAUUAUUGGGCGUAAAGAGCUCGUAGGCGGCUUGUCGCGUCGGAUGUGAAAGCCCGGGGCUUAACCCCGGGUCUGCAUUCGAUACGGGCAGGCUAGAGUGUGGUAGGGGAGAUCGGAAUUCCUGGUGUAGCGGUGAAAUGCGCAGAUAUCAGGAGGAACACCGGUGGCGAAGGCGGAUCUCUGGGCCAUUACUGACGCUGAGGAGCGAAAGUGUGGGGAGCGAACAGG
RNAcentral lists this ribosomal RNA (253 nucleotides) under uncultured bacterium. Its description in RNAcentral is "partial 16S ribosomal RNA". It matches the Rfam family "Bacterial small subunit ribosomal RNA", at positions 524 to 776 of the family's 1533-position model. The record is from RNAcentral.